GAGGGGGUAGCUCCGUGGUAGAGCGCGUGCUUAGCAUGCACAAGGUCCUGGGUUCCAUCCCCAGUCCCUCCA
This is a transfer RNA of Camelus ferus (Wild Bactrian camel), 72 nucleotides long. It matches the Rfam family "tRNA". Rfam says of the family: Transfer RNA (tRNA) molecules are approximately 80 nucleotides in length. Their secondary structure includes four short double-helical elements and three loops (D, anti-codon, and T loops). Further hydrogen bonds mediate the characteristic L-shaped molecular structure. tRNAs have two regions of fundamental functional importance: the anti-codon, which is responsible for specific mRNA codon recognition, and the 3' end, to which the tRNAs corresponding amino acid is attached (by aminoacyl-tRNA synthetases). tRNAs cope with the degeneracy of the genetic code in two manners: having more than one tRNA (with a specific anti-codon) for a particular amino acid; and 'wobble' base-pairing, i.e. permitting non-standard base-pairing at the 3rd anti-codon position. The record is from Rfam. NCBI's taxonomy places the organism in Eukaryota, Metazoa, Chordata, Mammalia, Artiodactyla, Camelidae.